CAAACGGGUGCGGAACACGUACGCAACCUACCCAUAACUGAGGAAUAGCCCGGGGAAACCCGGAUUAAUACUUCGUAACAUAAUGAGAUGGCAUCAUUUUAUUAUUAUAGCUCCGGCGGUUAUGGAUGGGCGUGCGCCUGAUUAGGUAGUUGGCGGAGUAAUAGCCCACCAAGCCUACGAUCAGUAACUGGUGUGAGAGCACGACCAGUCACACGGGCACUGAGACACGGGCCCG
RNAcentral lists this ribosomal RNA (235 nucleotides) under uncultured bacterium. RNAcentral describes it as "partial 16S ribosomal RNA". It matches the Rfam family "Bacterial small subunit ribosomal RNA", at positions 99 to 334 of the family's 1533-position model. The record is from RNAcentral.